RNAcentral lists this ribosomal RNA (254 nucleotides) under uncultured bacterium. RNAcentral's name for it is "partial 16S ribosomal RNA". It matches the Rfam family "Bacterial small subunit ribosomal RNA", at positions 524 to 776 of the family's 1533-position model. The record is from RNAcentral.
UACGAAGGGGGCUAGCGUUGCUCGGAAUGACUGGGCGUAAAGGGCGCGUAGGCGGAUGGUACAGUCAGAUGUGAAAUUCCUGGGCUCAACCUGGGGGCUGCAUUUGAUACGUAUUGUCUUGAGUUCGGAAGAGGGUCGUGGAAUUCCCAGUGUAGAGGUGAAAUUCGUAGAUAUUGGGAAGAACACCGGUGGCGAAGGCGGCGACCUGGUCCGAUACUGACGCUGAGGCGCGAAGGCGUGGGGGAGCAAACAGG